RNAcentral lists this ribosomal RNA (413 nucleotides) under Sphaerosporella aff. brunnea SGT-2012. Its description in RNAcentral is "eukaryotic LSU rRNA". The stretch from base 38 to 191 matches the Rfam family "5.8S ribosomal RNA". The record is from RNAcentral. Lineage: Eukaryota; Fungi; Ascomycota; Pezizomycetes; Pezizales; Pyronemataceae.
UGAUAUCUGUCUGAAUUGUCUCAAUGAGAAAACUUAAAACUUUCAACAACGGAUCUCUUGGUUCUCGCAUCGAUGAAGAACGCAGCGAAAUGCGAUAAGUAGUGUGAAUUGCAGAAUUCAGUGAAUCAUCGAAUCUUUGAACGCACAUUGCGCCUCCUGGCAUUCCGGGAGGCAUGCCUGUUCGAGCGUCAUUAAAACCGACUCAAGCAUGUUUGCUUGGACUUGGAGGAAGAGCGUGCCCUUUGGGUGGGUUCCCCUCCGAAAUGCAAUGGCGGAUGGUCCAUGUGGACACCGACGUAGUAAGAGCAAUCUCUCGUCGUGGCCCUGGAUCGUCCCGCCCACAAUCCCCACAAACAAUCAUGGUUGACCUCGGAUCAGGUAGGGAUACCCGCUGAACUUAAGCAUAUCAAUAA